GGGAAGGUGGCUCAGUGGUAGAGUGCUUGCCUUGCAUGCAUGAGGCCCUGCGUUAGAUUCCUGAUUCCUCA
Molecule: transfer RNA, 71 nt
Filed under: Dipodomys ordii (Ord's kangaroo rat)
Lineage: Eukaryota; Metazoa; Chordata; Mammalia; Rodentia; Heteromyidae
Rfam family: tRNA
About the family: Transfer RNA (tRNA) molecules are approximately 80 nucleotides in length. Their secondary structure includes four short double-helical elements and three loops (D, anti-codon, and T loops).
Source: Rfam by way of RNAcentral